GAAGGUAUAGCUCAGUGGUAGAGUGUGUGCUUAGCAUACACGAGGUCCUGGGUUUGAUUCCCCAGUCCCUCUA
Molecule: transfer RNA, 73 nt
Filed under: Camelus bactrianus (Bactrian camel)
Lineage: Eukaryota; Metazoa; Chordata; Mammalia; Artiodactyla; Camelidae
Also listed under: 1 other name
Rfam family: tRNA
About the family: Transfer RNA (tRNA) molecules are approximately 80 nucleotides in length.
Source: Rfam by way of RNAcentral